This 200-nucleotide ribosomal RNA is filed under the name uncultured bacterium. RNAcentral describes it as "partial 16S ribosomal RNA". It matches the Rfam family "Bacterial small subunit ribosomal RNA", at positions 29 to 258 of the family's 1533-position model. The record is from RNAcentral.
AACGAACGCUGGCGGCAGGCUUAACACAUGCAAGUCGAGCGCCCCGCAAGGGGAGCGGCAGACGGGUGAGUAACGCGUGGGAAUCUACCCAUCCCUACGGAACAACUCCGGGAAACUGGAGCUAAUACCGUAUACGCCCUUCGGGGGAAAGAUUUAUCGGGGAUGGAUGAGCCCGCGUUGGAUUAGCUAGUUGGUGGGUA